RNAcentral lists this long non-coding RNA (7744 nucleotides) under Setaria italica (foxtail millet). RNAcentral's name for it is "long non-coding RNA (SITA_LNC004985)". Lineage: Eukaryota; Viridiplantae; Streptophyta; Magnoliopsida; Poales; Poaceae. The record is from RNAcentral.
AAGGGGUCGGGCGCAUCCGACCUCGGGACCAAGGGUCGGGCGUAUACUCAGAAUUGGACUGCGGGUUGAUAUCAUGAAAUGUCAGGGGUUUUUUGAAAAAUAGCCUCGGACUACUCCAACGUUUCGCUCAGGGGUCGGACACUCCCGACCCCAGGACUCAGGGUCGGGCGAGGCGGAGCUUCACUCGGGGUCAGACGAGGCGGAGUUCCACCCUCAAGGGGUCGGGCGCAUCGGCGAGGCGGAGUUCCACCCUCAAGGGGUCAGGCGCAUCCGACCCCGGGACCAAGGGUCGGGCGAGGCGGAGUUCCACCCUCAAGGGGUCGGGCGCAUCCGUCAAGAGAGAAGAUUUUGUGGGCAUGUUAAAAGAAAGGAAAGAUUAAAAAAUCAACUCCCUAUAUGCAUGCGCGAGAUUUUGUGGACAGUUUAAAAGAAAGGAAAGGUUAAAAAAUCAGCUAGCUCCUUGCAUGCAUGCGCCAGAUUUGUCAAUAUCCUUUUUUACAAAUUUUGUGGGCAUGUUAAAAGAAAGGAAAGAUUAAAAAAUCAGCUAGCUCCUUGCACAUGCGCGAGAUUUUGUGGACAUGUUAAAAGAAAGGAAAGAUUAAAAAAUCAACUCCUUGCAUGCAUGCGCGAGAUUUUGUGGGCAUGUUAAAAGAAAGGAAAGAUUAAAAAAAUCAGCUAGCUACUUGCAUGCAUGUGCCAGAUUUGCUAGGCAUGGUUGGAAAAAGAAUUCUACUCCAUCCUGGUUCCUUCCCUUCCUUUUUCUAUCAGCCGCCAUAACAAACUCGUUGCUGCCAUCGCACAUGCACACGCCCGAAGCAAACCCAUCGCUUGCCCCGUGCCGCCGUUGCCCGCCCUGCGCCUUCGCUGACCUCCUCGCUGGGUAAUUGUUGACCAUCGGUACGGACGCAUGCAAUUCUCUUGAAGAAGUAACUAUGGAACAGUACACCGAAGUGAUAAGCUCCUAUAUCAUUAUUCCUUCAUCUCUCCUAACGAAUAAGACUCACUGCAGUACAAAUGUUCAACUUGCAGUUAUCCAGCUAUGGGUUCCUCCUACAUGUCGCUCUCGAGGAAGAGGGUAACCUUGCCUGCACCGCUGAUAUCCUUGCCCACACCGACAAUGAACAGGUAUAAUACUCGUAAUUUUCUGAAGCGGUAUAGAUUUCAUUUGAAUGAUGACAUCAGUUUUUAUCUCGUACGCUAUGAUGCACCCUUGCAGUAUAUAUCUAUAAAAUCUCGGAAUUAUAGGUGGGUUGAGUUUCAUGAGGUGGAGCUGGAACACAUCUUCUGGAGAUGGGAUGUGAGCGCCAUGGUUUUCUAGAAAGGAAACAUACAAGAGUAUGGAGGACAGGAGUAUUUGCACGUAAUAUUGGUUGAUGAGCAGGUGCUUCAAUCAUCCGCCUACUUCUUUUUUUUAUAUGCAUGUGUAAUUAGGCGGAUGCAUUGUGGUUUCACUGCAAACUACUGAUGUAUGUUGGCUACAAUGUUUGUGCAGGGCACCAAGAUGGAGGCAGUUGCAUGCGGCGACCAUCAUAUGAUGUUCAACAGUGUGCUCAUUGAAGGUGAAACAUAUGACUUUUUGGGAGUGUAUUUUACGCCAACUUAUGUGGAUCCCAUUCCCAAUAUGUACCGUCUGUGUGAAUACUACGCUGUCGUCCUUUUACCGGAUACUGUAGUCAAGACUCCACAGAGGCCCAUCUGGAUUUCAGAGUGUCCUCGUGCCUUUAGGAAAUUCGAGGAUGUAUACCGUCAGCCAGUAGAUACUUUUGCAGGUGACUCAUCAAUUUAUACACACUUUCAUUUAACAAAAUAUGAUGUCCUUGGUUUCACACUAAAAUGCAAAGCAUAUAUUUUUUUUGUUGUUGAAGAUGUCAUAGGCGUGGUUGUAUAUGCGUCUGAGAUCCAAGAUAGGGGUGACUUCCGGAGGCAGCCUAACAGGCACGUGGUAAUCAUGAAUCAAAGGUAUGUCUAUUUAUGUACAUAUGAAAUUAUCUGCCAUGCCAUGGGUGGAUCGGAAUUAAUGUUGUUACUUGUAGGAAAAACUUCAUCAUAAUCCAUGUGAACGACCCACACCUUCAACGCCACAUAUGGGAGUGGCGCCGCGCGGCUUAUCAAUUCAAGACAUUAGCUGCCCUCCAUGUCAAGAUAUCUACGAUGCAAGGUAUGACAUUAUCAAUGAGCACUCAGUUUUGUUAAUAAAAUUAACAAUAUAUUUAACCAUUAAUUCUUUAAAUUCAUGUAUCCCCUUGUCUGUUUAAGUUUUUAAUUCACUUUUCCCUUGCCUGUUAGGGGGAGUGACUACUACAGAUUAUAGUCAAAUUAUUUUUUCUCCCAUAUGUUCUUAUGCAUAUGAUGCGAAAGGUAACAUCUUUUUGUGCUCAAUAACUUCGUUUCACUGAAGUUAUAUAGUUUUGAUCUUUGAUUUUUGUGCUGCAGACCUAUCCAAGCGGAUACGCGCUGAACGGAAACAAAUUACAAAGACGGCACGUGCCCUUACAUUAGAUAUCAUCAACAAGUAGUAAUGCUAGGAUGCUCAGCAACUCUGUGUUGUGUUUCAAAGUUUGGAUGUUCGCGACAUACUGAAUCAUAUUUUUCGAGGAUUUUCCUUAUAUGAACUUUUUAGACAGUGACCAUAUAACAUGUUUGGUGAUUCAAUGGCAGCUAAGUACUAAGCUUGAUGUGUUUAUUGUUACCAUAUAACAAUUUCAUGAAUGCGUUAAGUACUCAGCUUGAUGUGUUUCAACCCUCCAUUGUGUAUAUAACAUGUUUGGUGAUUCAAUGGCAGUAACAUCUUUGGGGAAGAUGCAUUUCACUUCUGUUUGGUCCAAGAUCUCUCUAAAAGAUGCUUGCUCUGGACUGCAGAAGAAAUGUUGCGAGUGAUGAUUUAUUGAUAUGUACUCCAAUGCUUGUAGAUCCAAUGCCCUAAACAUGUACUCCAAAUCGGACCAGCUGUUUUAAUCAAGAUGCACGUACAUCCUGAGACAGCAUAACCCAAAUAAGGCACUAUGAUUCCUAACCCGGCAAAUCUAAAUCUACAUGUACUAAUAUUUUCCCCCCGAAACCUAGCCUGAAUGGUAAGAUUGGUUCCAGCAGAAUCGCAUCCCAAAUCACUCGGGGUCGGGCGAGGCGGAGUUCCACCCUCAAGGGGUCGGGCGCAUCCGAUCCCAGGACCAAGGGGUCGGGCGCAUCCGACCACGGGACCAAGGGUCGGGCGUAUACUCAGAAUUGGACUGUGGGUUGAUAUCACGAAAUGUCAGGGUUUUUUUUUUUGAAAAAUAGCCUCGGACUACUCCAACGUUCCGCUCAGGGGUCGGACACUCCCGACCCCAGGACUCAGGGUCGGGCGAGGUGGAGCUUCACUCGGGGUCGGGCGAGGCAGAGUUCCACCCUAUAUGCAUGCGCAAGAUUUUGUGGACAGUUUAAAAGAAAGGAAAGAUUAAAAAAUCAGCUAGCUCCUUGCAUGCAUGCGCCAGAUUUGUCAAUAUCCUUUUUUACAAAUUUUGUGGGCAUGUUAAAAGAAAGGAAAGAUUAAAAAAUCAGCUAGCUCCUUCCACAUGCGCGAGAUUUUGUGGACAUGUUAAAAGAAAGGAAAGAUUAAAAAAUCAACUCCUUGCAUGCAUGCGCGAGAUUUUGUGGGCAUGUUAAAAGAAAGGAAAGAUUAAAAAAAUCCGCUAGCUACUUGCAUGCAUGCGCCAGAUUUGCUAGGCCUGGUUGGAAAAAGAAUUGUACUCCAUCCUGGUUCCUUCCCUUCCUUUUUCUAUCAGCCGCCAUAACAAACUCGUUGCCGCCAUUGCACACGCACACGCCCGAAGCAAAUCCGUCGCUUGCCCCGUGCCGCCGUUGCCCGACCUGCGCCUUCGCUGACCUCCUUGCUGGGUAAUUGUUGACCAUCGGUACGGACGCAUGCAAUUCUCUUGAAGCUUUCUCAUCACCUACUCCCUGACCUUGUUACUAGACCGACGCCGAUCUGUUAUGAAGCUGAACGCUCGGUCGCGAACUGCACCAGAAGGUUGGAGGGUGUCGUCCGAGCGGCGGCGUUGCAGCUCAAGUGUGAGUUCUCGUUACCCUCUGUUAAUCAUGUUCACGUAGAUUAGAUCAUGAUUAUGCCUAACUAGACAUGAUUAUACCAAGAAGUUGUCGGAUAUGGCAUGUGUUAUAUUAAUUAAUCUGUUAAUCAUGUUCGUUAUAAUUAGAUCAUAUGUAUUCACAGAAAGAACUUGCCCUCCGCACUACUCAACUGUCAGCUCAGCAAAACAAGGCUGCAGCACUUGUGUUCCUGGGAAAAAAAUUAGCAGACGCCAUCAUUAUGUAUUCAAUGAAAUAAUUGUGCCAGGACCUGUAACAGGAGAUGACACAUGAGACUCAAAGUUGAAUAAAAUCUCACCUUUCAGAAGACGACUAGAAGGGGCUGCCAAUAAUUAAGCGAGCGACGGCGUUGCAGCUCACUGAAUCUUGGCAUCCAUCCAUGUCAGACGGUUCCGAGGUAAGCUACACACAAGCUUAACGCUCACUGAAUCAUAUUGCAGAACCGGUACUAAUUUAAUGAGUUUAUAUGUUACCUCCUUUUUCCAUCAAUAGUCAUCCUUGGAGUAGCUAUCCACGGAGCUGACGCCCACUGGUGACGAUGGUGUCUAUAGUAUGGAUAUAUUGCUGGAACUAGAGGAAACUACUCCCAAGACAGAUUACUUGGAUGCCAAUAAAUACCAAGAGGGUUUGACCCCUGACAAACUCAAAGAUGUUGAUAUGUCACAGCAGGUGUUGAUCACUGACGAAACCAACGAGUCAGAAGAUGCUUUCAAGAUUCCGGAAGGUAGUUUAUGUUUCAUUCAUAUAUCAGGUUGCUCAUUUGAUAUAUUUUCACAACAUUUAUCAUGUGCAAUGAUAAUUAUCCUCAAAUUUUAUGAUUAUUUUCAAGGUACGAAUGUACUGUCAAUGAUCAUGCCUUCAUUGAAGCUGCUAAAAAGAUCUCAGCUGAACCAGGUAGGGAAGAGCUUGUGACAUCGUCCUGGUGAAUAGGAAUCACAUGGAGUGCUUAUUUUGUCGAAACGCAUACCUGUAUGACGAGGUAAUAACCCCGAGUACAAAUUUAUGGGAACAAAAAUCUUUUUUUAUAUUGAGAAAUUAUUCAUGGUUGAUUUUUUGCAGGUCAUAAAUGCGUACAUCCACCUAUUGCGGACUCAAGAUAAUAUGAUAAAUAGGCCAGGUGGUACAUGCUACCUAGAAAAUACAAGUAUGACCGUGUUAAUGAAGGGGGAUGGUGAAGAAAAUGGAACAUGGAGGACAUGGAGGAUCACUAUCCCUCCCGUGGGCAUUCACAGGUUCCACGGUUGGCUGAAAGGGUAUUAUCGUACAUGCAACACGAUAUGGUAACUACUAUUUUCAACAUUACGAUAUAUACUUCAUUUAUCCAAUAUACGUUCUUUGACUGACAUUACAUUUUUUAAUACUUGAUAGUUGUUCUUACCAAUAAAAAUAAAAGAUACACACUGGUAUCUUGCUGUAGUGAAUGCGCGAAGGCGUAAGAUACAUGUGUUAGAUUCUUAUGGAACACUAUUUGGGCGCAGGGACCUCGAAAAUACUGUGAGUUUUUGCCAUCUCAGCUAUUUCUAUUUUUUUUUGCAAACUGCACAUACUAAUUAACCAGGACAUGUACAAACAGUUGAAGGGAUUGCCGAUGCAGAUGGAAUACACAUUGCAAUGCACUGGCCUUAAAGAUCACGCUUGGCCGGACGUCAAUGUUGACAUCUGGGAUGUUGUGGAGGUCAUGGUUGACAGAAUACAGUUUGAUGGGUAUGUAUGAUAUUGCACACUAAUUUAAAAUACCAAUUCUACAAUCUCAUAUGUAUAUAUCUUACAUUUUUCUAUAUAAUAAUGAUUCUGUAGUGUCUCAUGUGGGUUAUUCAUGGUUGCCUUUAUAAAGUAUUGGACUGGGGAUCAUCUGUGCGCUACCGUGGAUCAGGUACAUCAUGUAUAACUUUAACACAAGUAAUUAGUGAAUAUUUUUUACUAGCAUAUUUUUUGAAUAAACUGUGUUACUACUAAUGUACAGGAGAGUAUGGUAAAAUUUAGGACUAAAAUGGCAGCUACAUUACUAUCAACUAUAUUUAAUGAACGGUUAGGUAAACCAUUACUACGCAAUGAGGAUGAAAACAUCGGAAGCCCGAGUGACUUUGCAGAAAUAAUAGAACCUAACGAGUUUCAGCAGAUCAAACAAAAGAGGAAAUCCACGAACAGCCAUGAAAAUGCACUUAAACCAAAGAAAAUCGAUACAGAGAUAGACUCAGAUAAGCAAGAUGUUCUUCUAUACUACAAGGACUGGCCCUUGAAGAGAGAUGAGUUAGCUGAGAUUUUUUGUGAUUAUAUUUUGACAAUCAAGGAUCCUGCGGAAUUGGAGUAAGCUCAGUACUUCAUCACUUUCAUUUACCACUAAUAGUAUUGCAAUUUAUUAUGAAUUCUUAUGCAUUGUCCUUAUAUAUUGAUUUGCAGUAUGGUUUGGGUAAGGAGUGAUUUGCCCUAUAGGAGUGUGUAUAAACUCGGUGAUCUCAAGGUGUUGUUGAAACGAGGUUCACCCAUGCCUGAACCAUUUUUCAACUUAGGUGUCCGAUUUCUUGCAUACCGAGAGGCUAAAGGGAUGAUAAGGUACAACAACAAGGUUGCAAACCAUCAUGUGGAUCUGCGAUUCUGUGUAAGUUAGCUUGUUUAUAAUUACAAUCAUAACUGUGGAAUAUACUGCAUUCAUUGUCUAUUUAUAUUUAUUAGUUAUACAUAAAAUUGAUAGGUGAUACUGAUCAUGGCUAUAUAUCAUUUUGCUUCAGAAAAUGUUGGAGUUAACACGUCAUGAAAAAUAUCGUAAACAUCAUAGUGGUAAAGAGUUGGGUGAUGUGAUUGGUGGAUGGGAAAUAGUAAAAUAUGACAUACUAGGUUGCAGAUAUGUAAGUUCUUUUCAUGCCAUUAUUUGUUCAUUACAUAUCCUUUGUGGUCCUAAUACUGAGUGCUUUGCAGUUUCUCUUGCCAUGGAAGCAUGUCAAUACCUACCUGCUUUAUGUACUCGAUAUUAAGCGGAAGAAACUUAUUGUGAUUGACACUAAACCCAUUCCAAAAUAUGCCACGGAUGUGCCAUAUAAACAUUAUGCGAUACAGAUCGUAGGAUUUCGCCUAAAAUUUAUGAACGCAUUUAGACAGCUUAAACCUGAUUCAUGGGAGGAUGUUCACAAAUGGGAAUUUGAACGCGCGAAAGGAAUUGUGGAAGAUACUGAUGGGUAAGAUCAGCUCUAACACACCGGCAUUUUAGAGUGUCAAUAUCCUUUAUUUCUUAAAAGAUAUGUUCGUAUAUUUAUAUAGCUGACGAUUCAUCGUACCACAGAUUUUCAGAUGGAUGGCUUAUUCUACAGUACAUGGCAUGGUGGGAUAGUCCUCGAAACGUGCACAUCGAAAAAGUGAGUAAAUAUGCUUUGUUGUACGUUCCUUUGUAAUUUUACAAUAUACGAUAAAUCCGAGCUUAACUUGAAGUAAGCACUUAUCUUACUUACAGGAUGCUAUAACGAUGCGGCACAACUUCUUCAUCGAUCUUCUAGCGCACGAAGCGAAUGCCUGGAGGAUAAGACUACCAGGCAUUGUAAAACAUUUCCUUUGGCGCAUCACAGGCAAAGAAAUAAGAUAGAUGGGGGACAUUUGGAUGACCUGUAUUCGUAUAUGUUCUACAUCAUUAUUGUCCUGCUGAAUCCAAUCUUGGAUGAUAUACUUAUUU